CCUACGGGUGGCAGCAGUGGGGAAUAUUGGGCAAUGGGCGCAAGCCUGACCCAGCAACGCCGCGUGAAGGAAGAAGGCUUUCGGGUUGUAAACUUCUUUUCUGGGGGACGAACAAAUGACGGUACCCCAGGAAUAAGCCACGGCUAACUACGUGCCAGCAGCCGCGGUAAUACGUAGGUGGCAAGCGUUAUCCGGAUUUAUUGGGUGUAAGGGUCGUGUAGGCGGGAAGGCAAGUCAGAUGUGAAAACUCAGGGCUCAACCCUGAGCCUGCAUUUGAAACUGUGUUUCUUGAGUGCUGGAGAGGCAAUCGGAAUUCCGGGGGUAGCGGGGAAAUGCGUAGAUAUACGGAGGAACACCAGUGGCGAAGGCGGAUUGCUGGACAGUAACUGACGCGGAGGCUCGAAGGCGUGGGGAGCAAACAGGAUUAGAUACCCUGGUAGUC
This 442-nucleotide ribosomal RNA is filed under the name uncultured bacterium. Its description in RNAcentral is "partial 16S ribosomal RNA". It matches the Rfam family "Bacterial small subunit ribosomal RNA", at positions 338 to 795 of the family's 1533-position model. The record is from RNAcentral.